GGACCUGACUGCUAUCGGAUUGAUACUAAGCCAUGCGAGUCAUUGUAGUAAUACAAGGCAGACGGCUCAGUAACGCGUAGUCAACCUAACCUAUGGACGGGAAUAACCUCGGGAAACUGAGUAUAAUGUCCGAUAGAACAUUAUGCCUGGAAUGGUUUAUGUUCCAAAUGAUUUAUCGCCGUAGGAUGGGACUGCGGCCUAUCAGUUUGUUGGUGAGGUAAUGGCCCACCAAGACUAUUACAGGUACGGGCUCUGAGAGGAGUGGCCCGGAGAUGGGUACUGAGACACGGACCCAGGCCCUAUGGGGCGCAGCAGGCGAGAAAACUUUGCAAUGUGCGAAAGCACGACAAGGUUAAUCCGAGUGGUUUCUGCUAAAGGAACCUUUUGUCGGUCCUAGAAACACCGAUGAAUAAGGGGUGGGCAAGUUCUGGUGU
Molecule: ribosomal RNA, 434 nt
Filed under: uncultured archaeon
Lineage: Archaea
Description: bacterial SSU rRNA
Rfam family: Archaeal small subunit ribosomal RNA
Source: RNAcentral